UGGGGAAUAUUGGGCAAUGGAGGCAACUCUGACCCAGCAAUGCCGCGUGAGCGAUGAAGGUAAUUUUAUUGUAAAGCUCUUUUCUUGGGAACGAAUAAAGAUGACGGUACCCAAGGAAUAAGCCCCGGCUAACUACGUGCCAGCAGCCGCGGUAAUACGUAGGGGGCGAGCGUUGUCCGGAAUGACUGGGCGUAAAGGGUGUGUAGGUGGUUUGAUAAGUUAGAUGUGUAAUACCCAGGGCUCAACUCGGGUGCUGCAUCUAAAACUGUUAGACUUGAGUACUGGAGAGGAUAGUGGAAUUCCUAGUGUAGCGGUGGAAUGCGUAGAUAUUAGGAGGAACAUCAGUGGCGAAGGCGACUAUCUGGACAGCAACUGACACUGAGGCACGAAAGCGUGGGGAGCGAACAGGAUUAGAUACC
Molecule: ribosomal RNA, 419 nt
Filed under: uncultured bacterium
Lineage: Bacteria
Description: bacterial SSU rRNA
Rfam family: Bacterial small subunit ribosomal RNA
Source: RNAcentral